GCUGAGGCCCCAGGAUGGGACCGCGGCCUAUCAGGUAGUAGGUGGGGUAACGGCCCCACCUAGCCUACGACGGGUACGGGCCCUGAGAGGGGGAGCCCGGAGAUGGGCACUGAGACAAGGGUCUAGGCCCUAAGGGGCGCAGCAGGCGCGAAGAUUCCGCAAUGCCCGAAAGGGCGACGGAGUGAACCCGAGUGCCACCCGCUGAGGGUGGCUGUUCCCCUGUGUAAAAAGCAGGGGGCAGGAAGGGGAGGGCAAGGCUGGUGGCAGCCGCCGCGGUAAAAUCAGCUCCCCGAGGGGUUCCCACGCACACUGGGCCUAAAGCGUCCGUAGCCGGCCCUGUAAGUCUGCAGUUAAAUCCGCCUGUAGACAGGCGGGUUGCUGCAGAUACUGCAGGGCUAGGGAGCGGGAGGAGCCGGGGGUAUUCCCGGGGGAGCGGUAAAAUGCGUAGAUCCCGGGAGGACCACCAGUGGCGAAGGCGCCCGGCUUGAACGCGUCCGACGGUGAGGGACGAAAGCUGGGGGAGCAAACCGGAUUAGAUACCCGGGUAGUCCCAGCCGUAAACGAUGCCGGCUAGGUGCUGGCCAAGGUUUCGGCCUUGGCCAGUGUCGAAGCGAAGGCAUUAAGCCGGCCGCCUGAGGAGUACGGCCGCAAGGCUGAAACUUGAAGGAAUUGACGGGGGGGCACCACAAGGGGUGAAUGCCUGCGGCUUAAUUGGACUCAACGCCGGGAAUCUUACCGGGGGCGACAGCAGGAUGAAGGUCAGGCUGAAGACCUUACCAGACGCGCUGAGGGGUGGUGCAUGGCCGUCGCCAGCUCGUGCCGCGAGGUGUCCUGUUAAGUCAGGCAACGAGCGAGACCCCCGCCCCUAGUUGCCAGCGGCCUCCUUCGGGAGGGACCGGGCAAACUAGGGGGACCGCCUCCGAAGAGGAGGAGGAAGGUGGGGGCUACGGCAGGUCAGUAUGCCCCUAACCCCCCGGGCCGCACC
This 985-nucleotide ribosomal RNA is filed under the name uncultured korarchaeote. RNAcentral's name for it is "bacterial SSU rRNA". It matches the Rfam family "Archaeal small subunit ribosomal RNA", at positions 195 to 1176 of the family's 1478-position model. The record is from RNAcentral. Lineage: Archaea; Thermoproteati; Thermoproteota.